RNAcentral lists this transfer RNA (74 nucleotides) under Pseudomonadota bacterium. RNAcentral describes it as "tRNA-Trp". It matches the Rfam family "tRNA". From Rfam's summary of the family: Transfer RNA (tRNA) molecules are approximately 80 nucleotides in length. Their secondary structure includes four short double-helical elements and three loops (D, anti-codon, and T loops). The record is from RNAcentral. Lineage: Bacteria; Pseudomonadati; Pseudomonadota. RNAcentral also lists the same sequence under 1 other name.
AGGCCUGUAGCUCAACAAGGUAGAGCGUCGGAUUCCAAAUCCGAUGGUUGGGGGUUCAAAUCCCUCCAGGCCUG